RNAcentral lists this ribosomal RNA (396 nucleotides) under uncultured bacterium. RNAcentral's name for it is "partial 16S ribosomal RNA". It matches the Rfam family "Bacterial small subunit ribosomal RNA", at positions 361 to 774 of the family's 1533-position model. The record is from RNAcentral.
AUCUUAGACAAUGGGCCCAACCCCCCUCCCCCCCCGCCGCCUGAGUGAUCAAGGCCUUAGGGUUGUAAAGCUCUUUCAGCUGUGAAGAUAAUGACGGUAGCAGCAGAAGAAGUCCCGCCUAACUCCGUCCCAGCAGCCGCGGUAAUACGGAGGGGACUAGCGUUGUUCGGAAUUACUGGGCGUAAAGCGCACGUAGGCGGAUCGGAAAGUUGGGGGUGAAAUCCCGGGGCUCAACCCCGGAACUGCCUUCAAAACUAUCGGUCUGGAGUUCGAGAGAGGUGAGUGGAAUUCCGAGUGUAGAGGUGAAAUUCGUAGAUAUUCGGAGGAACACCAGUGGCGAAGGCGGCUCACUGGCUCGAUACUGACGCUGAGGUGCGAAAGCGUGGGGAGCAAACA